UGUGUGAGUUGUACAUUCUUUUAUAUUAUUCUAUUUAACCGACAAUCAAUGUUUUCAUUUUACACGCCACUGCUCAGAAAUUGUAUUUAUGUGAUUGUAUAUUUUGCUUUUACCUUAUGUAUCUUAUUUUUUGUUUAUUCAUGUUAAGCGCUUAGGGUAAUUUUUCAAAUUAUAUAAUGCGCUAUAUAAAUAUUGUAUAAUAAUAAUAAAUAAUAA
This 216-nucleotide long non-coding RNA is filed under the name Mytilus galloprovincialis (Mediterranean mussel). The record is from RNAcentral. Lineage: Eukaryota; Metazoa; Mollusca; Bivalvia; Mytilida; Mytilidae.